GUAUAGCCCCGAUGGGAACGGCAUCCUUUUUAUUGGGAUUUGUUUUUACAAAUUCCGAUAAAAAGAUACAGUGGACAGCGGGAGGAGGC
This 89-nucleotide small RNA is filed under the name Flavobacterium saliperosum. RNAcentral describes it as "Flavo-1 RNA". It matches the Rfam family "Flavo-1 RNA". The record is from RNAcentral. Lineage: Bacteria; Pseudomonadati; Bacteroidota; Flavobacteriia; Flavobacteriales; Flavobacteriaceae.